This is an RNA transcript of Chenopodium quinoa (quinoa), 1939 nucleotides long. RefSeq lists it as uncharacterized. The record is from RefSeq and is a predicted model, not a curated record. The transcript has 4 exons. Lineage: Eukaryota; Viridiplantae; Streptophyta; Magnoliopsida; Caryophyllales; Amaranthaceae.
UCUAAUGACAGGACACUAAAUUGUGAAUAUUAAAACCAUGGGUCACCAAAGUGAAAUUUACUUAAACGUUGGGACACUAAAGUGUAAAUUUUCCUAUAUAUAAAUGAGUAUAUUUAUAUUGAAGCUCAUUCAUUAAACAAGCUUUAAAAUUUGUUCAAGCAAGACUCUUUUAUUAAUUAAAUAAAUAAACAUAAACGAGAUUCAACCGAACAUAAUAGUUUAUUGAUCAGCUCGAUUUAUUUACAUCUCUAAAUAUAAAGUUUUUGAUCCUUUCUCAAGCAUUCACCUAAUACUAAAAAAAAAAAAAAAAAAUAAUAAAAAAAAAAAAAAAAAAAAACAACGGUACAAAAGCUAAAAUGUUGUAAAGGAAUAAAAUGAAAUUCCUCUAUAAAUAAAGUGUUCCCCCCAAUAUUACUAGUCCACACCAGUCAAUACACUUCUUCUCUUUUCUCUCUCCUCCACUUUCUUGUCGCAUUCACUCUUCAGACUUCUUCAUCUGCCAUUUUAUAUUGCUAAAACAAAUACUUUCUGUAAUAUCCAACAAGAACGGGUGACCCACAGAAUCCAAUUACGGAAAGGGAUUACAAUGGAUACCACAUUCAUAAGCGUGGAAGCUUUUAUGUCAAUUGCCGGUUGCUUUGCUUAUGUGGAAGCCAUGUCGAACAGACACUUGAAAUAGUGCCGACAGUUAGAAGCGGUGAGACAAGUGGAGCACAAGGCCUUGAUGAGGAAGAAUUGCAAUAGAGUGCUUUUCUCUUUGAAGAUGACCCUAAGGGGAAGAAGGUGUGUUAAUUGGAAGAUGAAUGUGGUGGAGAAGGAAGACAGAAUAUUCGUGUUUCUUAUUUUCCUUGAGAACUUUUUUUUUGGUAGUGUAUGGUUUGUGGAGGAGUACUACUGUACUAAUAAUUUUAGUUAUUGUGACUUACUGACUUUCAGACAUUAGUUUUGUUGAGUUUUGGAGUAGUUUAACAUUUUUACUUAUUGGGAGCAGCUGUUAAUUUCUAAUCCAUACCUUGAGUAUUAUUUUAAUUGCCAUUUUUUUUUUGAACGGAAAGUGCAUAUGUUGGUUAUUCGAAAAUAUGGCCUUAAAUAGAUUUUUAUGUAUUUUGAUUUUCUAAAAUAAUAAAGUACAACAACUUUCUCCAAUUGUAACUAAUCAAUUUGUUUUCCAAGGAAGUAAUUAGUCCAUGUUUUAUACUGUUUAUUUGUUUAAAGAAUUUGAGUUACGAUUGUUUCAUUGUUUAUAAAGACCAUCUCUAAUGGUGAGACUUGAGGUGAUGGUCGCCGGCGGAGAUAAUGGGAAAAGAGAGGGUCGAUCAGCGGUGAAGGUAGGUCGUCGAAAAGUGGGGAUUUGGGCUGCGGGUCCGGUGGGGAAGGGGGUUGCCAAACUUGCUACCAAGGAAGGGGGGAAGGGGGGAGGAAGAGGAGGUGGUUGGGGGUGGUGAUUUGUUUUAUAUAGAAAUUAAAUCUAAAUAUUGGUUUAGAGCUUAAUUAGAAGAAAUUGGAGGAAAUUAGAGAUUUAUUAAGUAAAUUAGAGGGUACUUAAGUAAAUAGGUUUCCUUUCGCGAAAAAAAAAAAAAAAAAAAAUGAACGUGGUGGUUUUUAAACCAAAAGGCUUUUAAAAGGGAUUUUUUUUAUUGUCAAUUUUCCUUAAUUUUAUAACAGGAUUAUAGGUCAAUAAAAGUCUUAACAUCUGCCUUACUUGUCACAGUUAUAAGGAACAAGAGUCCCUCGGACAUUCAGCUUUUAUGAAUUUUGAAGGAAAUUAUCAAGAUAGGAAGUAAUCGUACUUUUUAGCAUUGCAUCAUUCUAAAAGUGGAUAGAACAGAAGUCAAUCUCGCCCACCAAAUAGCAAAUCAAUGUCGAGUUACCUUGAACGGUUUCUCUAAUUCUGCUUCUUUUUUUUUUUUUGAUGUGUUUUAGUCUUACGCUGUCUUAA